This 520-nucleotide long non-coding RNA is filed under the name Marmota monax (woodchuck). Lineage: Eukaryota; Metazoa; Chordata; Mammalia; Rodentia; Sciuridae. The record is from RNAcentral.
GUUACAUAAUUUUUUCUUUAGCCAUUAUUGCCAGAAUUCCUAUCUUCAUCCCAGUGCCGGUGAAGACAAAGAUAAAACCAAUCUACAGCUUCUGCAAUAGCCAUCACUGAACUGCUUGCAGAACUUGCCUGGACACAUUGUGAACUCACCUGUAUGCAUUGUGAACUAUCUGUUGGUGCAGCGACUUGUGGUAGUGUUGGGGUAUUUUUGCUGAUGAUGUCAUUGGUGGUACAAUUUUUCCAAAAGGAGCCGUCAAUUGGCUUGGUGUAUCUUCCUCCCUUCUGCUUGUCAUGAUCGUUCAGCUAAAAUUUGGGGGCCAACAGAGGUGAGGCAAAGAACCUCACCCCCCCGCUGGUACAAAGACCUCUCCACAGGUGUGGCUGUAUACUGGACCGGUAGUCAGUGACGGGUAAGAUCCAAUUGCAAUGGUACCAACCUAAGACAGGAGGCUGACGCCUUGAGGUCAGCUCAUCCCAUAACGGGUAAGGACCAUAUGUACUAUUGGACAACCUAAGGCAGG